UAUGGCCACACCAUGUUGAAACACUGGUUCUCGUAUGAUCACCGAAGUUAAGCAACAUUGAGCCUGGUCAAUACCUAGAUGGGUGACUGCUUGAGAAUAACAGAUGCUGUAUG
Molecule: non-coding RNA, 113 nt
Organism: Acanthosepion pharaonis
Lineage: Eukaryota; Metazoa; Mollusca; Cephalopoda; Sepiida; Sepiidae
Source: the annotation of a GenBank genome assembly